This is a long non-coding RNA of Passer domesticus (house sparrow), 1562 nucleotides long. RefSeq lists it as uncharacterized. Lineage: Eukaryota; Metazoa; Chordata; Aves; Passeriformes; Passeridae. The transcript has 2 exons. The record is from RefSeq and is a predicted model, not a curated record.
UAUGGUGUUAGAGCUUCCAGUGGCUGCACAACACCAGCAAGGUUAGAGCCUCCAGUGGCUGCAACAAGACCAUGAUGUUAAAGCCUCCAGUGGCUGCACAACACCAUGGUGUUAGAGUUUCCAGUGGUUGCACAACAUCACGGUGUUAGAUCCACCACUGGCUGCCCAACACCAGCAAGGUUAGAGCUUCCAGUGGCUGCCCAACACCAGCAAGGUUAGAGCUGCCAGUGGCUGCACAACACCACGGUGUUAGAGCCACCACUGGCUGCCCAACACCAGCAAGGUUAGAGCUGCCAGUGGCUGCACAACACCACGGUGUUAGAGCCACCACUGGCUGCCCAACACCAGCAAGGUUAAGACAUGCAACAGGACUUGGCUUAUCCCCACAGAGGGAUAAGCUCGACGCCAGUGAACAAACUACUCAAUUACAUUUGGAGACAAACACUGAUGACAAUGAGGUCAGAGCACUUGGAACCUCACAUGUAAAUACAGACAUUUCCUUACAUACCACGGUAGCUCCUCACUAAAUGUGUUUUGCCACAUGAAUUUUGUUUCUAUCACACACUAAGUUGCAGCAGAGAUUCAAAAAAAGGUACUGAAUACAGGCUAUGAUUUGGGGGCUGGAAUGAGAGAUCCUUACAGUCCUCUCCAACCCAAAUAAUUCUAUUUGUGUUUCAAGGAGAACAGUGGAGAAACAGACCCCAACUCUAACAGAUUUUAGAAUGCAUACAGCAAUUCAUUCUAGAAAUUAUUUGAUUCUUGUUGUGUUAAACACUGAAUCUUGAACUGAUUUUCUUCUUCCUCUGUGAGUGCUGACAAAUUUGCAUGUGGCUGCUCAUAGCUAACAGGUAACAACACUUGCAUCAACAGCUAAAAACAAGCACAUCACUUGAAUACUCAUGAUGAGUGAUAAGAAUGAACAUUACACUACAUGUUAUAUGGGAAACAGCACGUUUUACUGGGAGUUUUUAGCAUUCUACUGCUUGCUGUGGCAAUACUGUACCAUCAUCACUCAGAAGUCUUAUCAUGAAGGCACCAGGUAACACCACCUCAGCUUAUGGGCUUUGAAAGAGAAGCCAUGGAAUACCAGGAGUUAGAGACUGAGAGAGGCUACUGCAGACUCUUCAGUGAUCUCAGACCACCCCCAGUCUGUACCAGGAGAAUGGGGACUGGGAGCAGCAAUAUCUGCUGGGGAUUUAUCAUGCAUGGAGUGCAACUGGAAGGAAGUAACAGUACAUUACCUCUGGGCCAUCCUCAGGCUGCAGCAACAGGAAAUAAAUCACUAUUGUUAUUUAGAGCAUUUCCAUGAAAUUCCUCUCCUGACACCAGUGAAGGUGUCUGACUAAAGCUUCACUGGAAGAGGGCUACAAUGGACCCCUAAGGUGAGAAUUACACCUACCUGUCCUUCUUCAGCAAAUCCCCUUCCAUCACAGUCAUGCUCAGAGGCCUCUUCCUCUCCAGGGUCCCACAUUCAUAGUCAUUGCCAGUGUGUGACAAGUGAUUGGAAUUUACAGCAGGAACUGCCACAAACGCCCCAGACACAUUGAAAUCUUCAUCUGAAG